RNAcentral lists this ribosomal RNA (775 nucleotides) under uncultured Neocallimastigales. RNAcentral describes it as "partial large subunit ribosomal RNA". It matches the Rfam family "Eukaryotic large subunit ribosomal RNA", at positions 26 to 656 of the family's 3401-position model. The record is from RNAcentral. Lineage: Eukaryota; Fungi; Neocallimastigomycota; Neocallimastigomycetes; Neocallimastigales.
CGCAUCUGUGCAUGCAGCAUAUCAAUAAGCGGAGGAAAAGUAACUAACAAGGAUUCCCUUAGUAACGGCGAGUGAAGCGGGAAGAGCUCAAAUUUGAAAUCUUCAAGGUUUUACCUUGACGAAUUGUAGUUUAAAGAAGUGUUUUCUGUUGAAGUUUUGGUAAAAGUUCUUUGGAAUAGGACAUCAUAGAGGGUGAGAAUCCCGUAUUUGACCAUUAUUUUCAGCUGUGUGAUACACUUUCAAAGAGUCGGAUUGUUUGGGAAUGCAGUCCAAAAUGGGUGGUAAAUUUCAUCUAAAGCUAAAUAUUGGCGAGAGACCGAUAGCGAACAAGUACCGUGAGGGAAAGAUGAAAAGAACUUUGAAAAGAGAGUUAAACAGUACGUGAAAUUGUCAAAAGGGAAGCGUUUGACACCAGUGUUGUUUUCUCGAAAAUCCAAUUAAAAAGAGUUAGAUUUUGUUGUGUAUUGACCUUAACAGCUUGCAUUUCAAUUUUCUUGCUUUUUUUAAUGCACUUUUCGUUUAACAAGUCAACAUCAGUUUCUUUUGUUGUAAAAAGGUCAUUGGAAGGUGGCUUUCUUUUCGGAGAAAGUGUUUAUAGCCUUUGACUCCUGCAAUCGGAGAGACUGAGGUCUGCAGCGUAGAUCCUUCGGGGUUAGAUACAUUUGUGCUAAGUUAUAGCUUUUUAUAGACAACUUGUUGACUAUGAUUAGUCUUGUAGCUUACUCGCUUAUGCUAUUUUACCUACGCUUAGGAUGUUGACAAACGCGCGUGCUCG